ACCGGGUUGGCCUUUCCCCGCGCUCUUCCUCUGAGGAUUCUUCAACCAAUACGCCAAUCAGAGUGGACUCUCCUUGCUUAUUUUAUUCUGGAGCUGUCAUUGCCUCUUCUUUGUCAUGAGCUAUGCGCGUAGCAACGAAGUCAAGCUGUCGUGUAACUCAAUGCAGAAUUUUCCAUGCUAUUGACGAGGUCAGCUCUCUGGUUGGUGGUUGGGAGACUUGGUCUUCGGUUCUCACCGAGUCUUCUCGACCCCGCGCAAGCAGGGCCCCAUUAAAGACGACGACGACUUACUUUUAUUAAAAUUCUUACGCCUUUGUUCCCGUCAUCAUGGGCCUCCCGUUAUAUUUUACUCUCCCUUGACGUAACUCUCCACUUCAUUAACUCUAUGAAAUCUGGAUGGGCCUUCCAUCUAGUUUUUCUUUUUCUUUUUCAAAAACAAAGAGAGAAAUUACAAACGCGUUUGCAGCUGAUGUCUAACCCAGCUUUGAUUUUGGACUCCCGAGCUGUUGGUUCCAUCUCCCUUGCAAGAUCUCAUGCUACUUUUAGCUUUCUACCUUAUUGUGUAAAAGAAAAGCCUGAGAGAUUCAGAAAAAGGAGGAGAAACAUAAAAAAAAA
This is a non-coding RNA of Elaeis guineensis (African oil palm), 614 nucleotides long. NCBI's taxonomy places the organism in Eukaryota, Viridiplantae, Streptophyta, Magnoliopsida, Arecales, Arecaceae. The record is from RefSeq and is a predicted model, not a curated record.